Molecule: ribosomal RNA, 468 nt
Filed under: uncultured bacterium
Lineage: Bacteria
Description: partial 16S ribosomal RNA
Rfam family: Bacterial small subunit ribosomal RNA
Source: RNAcentral
GACGAACGCUGGCGGCGUGCUUAACACAUGCAAGUCGAACGGACAGGCCCUGCUUUUGUUGGGUUCUCGAUUGGCGAGCGCGUGUGUAACACGUGUGUAACCUGCCCUUGUCUUUGGGAUAACUUCAGGAAACUGGGGCUAAUAUCGGAUAGGAGCUCCUGCUGCAUGGUGGGGGUUGGUAAGUUUCGGCGGUUGGGGAUGGACUGGCGGCUUAUCAGCUUGUUGGUGGGGUAGUGGCUUACCAAGGGUUUGACGGGUAGCCGGCCUGAGAGGGUGACCGGGGACAUUGGGACUGAGAUACGGCCCAGAAGCCUACGGGAGGCAGCAGUGGGGAAUAUUGCACAAUGGGCGGAAGCCUGAUGCAGCAACGCCGCGUGCGGGAUGCCGGCCUUCGGGUUGUAAACCGCUUUCGCCUGUGCCAAAGCGUGCGUGACGGUAAUGGGUAAAGAAGCACCGGCUAACUACGUG